GGCUUGAUUCUACCACUGGUGAGCAAAACACAGACGACAUAGUGCACCCCUUUCUCUUUCUCGCGGGAAUGGAUCUGCCCACAGCACCUCGGGCCCAUUUUUCACAGCUGCUGUGGCAAGCUCUGGAGACAUAAAAGGAUACCAAUUGGCCAGACCACCUGUUGCUGUUGGCGACGGGGCCCUGACAGGAGAAUGUGAUUGGACGGCAAGGUCGUUAACCUCUGCACACAGAAAGCGCUCGUUUCAAGCCUCCUUGGGCAGGACUGCUGAUGUUGGCGAGAACACAUCAGGGGCACACAUGUACACACAGGCAACGUUUUCCGCCAAGACCAACAGAAAUGCUGUCCCACUUUUGUUUU
Molecule: long non-coding RNA, 359 nt
Organism: Myripristis murdjan (pinecone soldierfish)
Lineage: Eukaryota; Metazoa; Chordata; Actinopteri; Holocentriformes; Holocentridae
Exons: 3
Source: RefSeq, a predicted model, not a curated record